GUAGGUGAACCUGCGGAAGGAUGAUUA
RNAcentral lists this ribosomal RNA (27 nucleotides) under Melanoleuca decembris. RNAcentral's name for it is "partial 18S ribosomal RNA". The record is from RNAcentral. Lineage: Eukaryota; Fungi; Basidiomycota; Agaricomycetes; Agaricales; Pluteaceae.